RNAcentral lists this unclassified non-coding RNA (153 nucleotides) under uncultured Sordariomycetes. RNAcentral's name for it is "sequence contains ITS2". RNAcentral also lists the same sequence under 1 other name. Lineage: Eukaryota; Fungi; Ascomycota; Sordariomycetes. The record is from RNAcentral.
CAACCCAUCAAGCGCUGCGCUUGUGUUGGAGCCCUGCGGCUGCCGCAGGCUCCCAAACCCAGUGGCGGGCUCGUCGUCGUACCGAGUGCAGUAAACUUACCACGCUCAGGGCACGCGACGGGUGACCGGCCGUAAAACCCCCAAACUUAUCAA